This 278-nucleotide long non-coding RNA is filed under the name Elaeis guineensis (African oil palm). RNAcentral's name for it is "long non-coding RNA (EGUI_LNC063516)". Lineage: Eukaryota; Viridiplantae; Streptophyta; Magnoliopsida; Arecales; Arecaceae. The record is from RNAcentral.
UCCGAUCGAUGAUCAUUAACAUAUCAGAAUUAUCGAUUGAUGCUCAUUCUGAUCUUCACGACUACCGACAUAUAGUCGGCUUAUCUUCCUACGAUUACAUGAUAUCGAAAUAUGCGAAAUCUACAUAUCUAACCAUUAUAAAUGGUUAUCAACUAUAUGUCACGAUGAUUAGUGGACAUAAAUAGCCCAUUAACUCCAUGAUUAUGGCUCGAUAAUUUAGUACCAUAAAAAAUAGGACCACAUGCUCGACGGUUACAUUUGAAUCAUCUAUAAAAGGG